RNAcentral lists this ribosomal RNA (253 nucleotides) under uncultured bacterium. RNAcentral describes it as "partial 16S ribosomal RNA". It matches the Rfam family "Bacterial small subunit ribosomal RNA", at positions 524 to 776 of the family's 1533-position model. The record is from RNAcentral.
UACGAAGGGGGCUAGCGUUGCUCGGAAUCACGGGGCGUAAAGCGCACGUAGGCGGAUUGCUAAGUUAGGGGUGAAAUCCUGGAGCUCAACUCCAGAACUGCCCUUGAUACUGGCGGUCUCGAGUCCGGGAGAGGUGAGUGGAACUGCGAGUGUAGAGGUGAAAUUCGUAGAUAUUCGCAAGAACACCAGUGGCGAAGGCGGCUCACUGGCCCGGUACUGACGCUGAGGUGCGAAAGCGUGGGGAGCAAACAGG